AGAAGGGUGUGUGUGUUUUUCCUGAGAAUAAGAGAAGGAAGGACAGCCAAAUUCUUCA
MicroRNA precursor from Homo sapiens (human), 58 nucleotides. Lineage: Eukaryota; Metazoa; Chordata; Mammalia; Primates; Hominidae. The record is from Ensembl.